CCGCCCCGCCGACGAGGAAGUGGCAGCCGCCUGGCCGAGCGCUAAUUGGCUCCCGGGCUGGCAGCUUCGGCGCGCACGGCGGCGCGCGCGGCGGCGGAACCAGCGCGAGCCGGGGGAAGGCACCGCCGCGGGCUCGCGCCGGGGCUAACCCAGCCGCGCGCGCUCGCGACAAGCAGGGGCCGGACCCGGCAGGGGCGCGCGCGGAGGCGCUCUCGCCGCAGUCCCGCCCCGCCCCACGGGGGCAGGAGCCAAGCCGCGCGCCCGGCCCGCGUGGGACAGAGGCCUGGGUUGACGACCUCUUCCGGAUCGCCUGUGACCGGGCAGGGGCGAGGAGGAAGAGUGCGGGCGUCUCGGGUGCGGUGGUGUGUGACAGGCGCACGCCGGGCCCUCGCCUCUGCCUGUAAGACUUGGAAUUGGCCCCCGGAAGACGUGAUUUUCAAAGCUAAUUAUGAAAACAUUUGUCAUUGGAAUCAGUGGUGUGACAAAUGGUGGGAAGACAACAUUGGCUAUGAAUUUGCAGAAACACCUCCAAAACUGCAGUGUCAUAUCUCAGGAUGAUUUCUUUAAGCCAGAGUCUGAGAUAGAGAUAGAUAAAAAUGGAUUUCUGCAGUAUGAUGUGCUUGAGGCGCUCGACAUGGAAAAAAUGAUGUCCGCCAUUUCUUGCUGGAUGGAAAGUCCGAGACACUCUCUGGUAGAAGAUGGGGGAAGCACUGAGGAAAUUUCCAUAUUAAUCAUCGAAGGUUUCCUUCUCUUUAAUUAUAAGCCACUUGACAGUCUAUGGCGUAGAAGCUACUUUCUGACCAUUCCAUAUGAAGAAUGUAAGAGGAGGAGGAGUACGAGGGUCUAUGAGCCUCCAGAUGUCCCAGGGUACUUCGAUGGCCAUGUGUGGCCCAUGUACCUAAAGCACAGACAAGAAGUAGAGGACAUCCCGUGGGAAAUUGUUUACCUAGAUGGAACAAAAUCUGAAGAGGACCUCUUUUCACAAGUGUAUGAAGAUCUGUUACAAGAACUAGCAAAGCAAAAGUGUUUGCAAGUAACAGCAUAAUGAUGGAGGGCACUGAAUCUUUCCUGGAGUGAAUUAGAAAACUUGAAAGAAUAUAUUCAAGAACCUUCACCAAGAUACAUAAUGUACUUUGGCUUGUAAUGGACUGCUCACCAGUGAGGGGAAAACCCACUCCUAGGGUACCGCCUGCAAUUACAGGGUCCUCUGUCUUCUGGGGAGUCCCAGGCUGCCAGAAGAUGACAAUUAAGUCAAGGAUGUAGCAUGUGGAGAAAGCAACAGCAAUGGUUGGUCAUGCUGAUAAGUAAAGCAGCCGUGUGGAAAGCAUGUGGAACUGUAAGUAAGAAAACCUGGGUUCUUGUCCCAGAUCUGAUGCUUGACCAUGGGUAUGUCAUUCUCUGAGCCCAAAGAAGCUAAGCAUUCCUCAAAAUUGAAAUAAUUAAUAUGGACCUCAGGUAUUUGGUUAAAAGGUUUAAUGAAUAUAAAGCAUCUAGUCAAAUGCCUGGCACCUGGUGGAUGUUCACUGUUAUUAACUCCAACUUUCAGUCCCAACCCUUUUGACUCCAUCCUAUAAAAUCUGACACUGAAAAUUAAGUUAAAGAUGUUAAAGGGUUAUGAAGACAGAUCCAAGCCUAUCACCACAGCUUGAGUUGAGUCCCGCAUAACCCUUGGGGUUUUUCAAAUUAUUAUUUAUUUUUUCCCUUUCAUGCCUUCCUUUGAUACUCAUUUUAAUCAUUUUUACCCUUUAAAAAAAUAUGAAUGGGUUUAGUGGAACGUGUGGUAUAUUUGCUCUGGGACCUAAACCUCUGUAUAAGGAUGGUCCUCAGCCUCUGCAACAACAGGUCAUCUAACCUGUGAGUACCACCCCCACCUCCUACUCAAAGACACAUAGCUGAUCUCAGCCAUAAACUUGUCAGGCUGCUUCUGGGGAAAACCAGCCAACAUAUGGUGAGGAUAUUCAAGCAGCACUGUGCAAAAAUCCAUGUGGCAAAAUAGUAGAGACAUCGAUCAAUAGCCAGCACCACUUGCCAGCCAUGUAACUGAGUCACCUUGGAAAGUGAAUUCUCCAACCCCAGGCAAACUUUUAGAUGACAGGAGCGCAGCUGACACCUGGACUUCAAUUUCAUGAGAUCCUGAGGCAGAACCUGCAGUAAGCCACUCCCAAGAGAAAGAGAGAAAGAAUGAAUAAAGGAAUGUAUGCCUGGCAGGUACCAUGGGAUGAGAUGUAAAUUUACAAGAUAUCCUAUUGGCCCCUCCACAAAUACACAUAUAGUAUGAGCAUGCCACAGUGCUAAAUGUGGGUUGACUCUUUAGAAAAUAAAAUCUCUAAAUGCAAGCCAGUUAUUUCAUCUGGUGCUCAGCAGAAGAAACAGAGAUCUGUUCCAACACUAGAGGAAAAACUGAUUGUGCUGACUUAUUAAAUGUGGCAGAGAAUGCUUCCCAAUUUCCAUCUGCCCCUUCUUCUAUAGCAAUAAAAAAUCUUGAUUUUCCAGUUGGAACAUUAUCACCUGGCUAAAAGAAACUUAAGAGUUUCUCUAGUUAUUUGAAAAAGAGUAUAAUGUGGUAAUGAUAACCAGAGCUUUGGUGUCUGUCAUAUAGAACAGAAUUAAAUAUAGCUGUGUGACCUCAAGCAAAUUAUUAUCUAUCAUGAGGCCUAGUUACCUUGUCUAUAAAACAUAAUGAUGAACUUACACUUUAUAAAGUUGCUGUAAAGAUUAAAUUUUUAACCCACGCAAAUGCCUUAAAUUUAGCAUAGUAAUCUGGCACAGGAUAUGUGCUCAUUAAAUGGUAGCUAUUGUUUAAAAACAUAAAGAAAAAAUCUAAAAUGUGAGGCAUUGGAAGUUUCUUGAUAAGACUCAAGUACAGCUCUUAAAUUAACUGCUUGCUCUAUUAAGCCAUUAUUCAGUAAUUUUGAAAUUGUAAGCUGGUACUCAGCUUUCUUUUACUACUCUAGACUUCUCUCCUUUGGGAAUUCUCACGUUCUCCAUAUUUCACACUUUGAAUCAUUAAAUCUCUCCAGUUUCCUAAAAUGAAGGAGAAUUCAUCUUUGAUCUAGUGAUCAGAGGAGGGAACCUGGAAAGGGAAGAUGAAUCUCUGCCUGAACACAGAUGUCAAUCCUCUCUCCAAAUGAGAGGCAACUUUACAUGACACACUUGUCACCUUUCCUCUUCCCUCUUCUUUUCCUUCUGCCUAUAUAUAAUUGGUACCCCUGUCAAAUAGUCUUAAUUACAUUUCCUUUGGAGAAAAACACAUUUCAGCUGUCUUGGAAAACCAGUUUAAAAGUUGCCUUAAAAAAAUACUAAUAUCUACUGUCUAAAAAUAGGUAGUUACAAGGGCAUGCCAGAGUUUAUCUGGACUGGAGAGGUUGGGUGGAGAUCUCUUCUGCUGCAGCCUGGUCAAGAGAGAGAUGGGAUGACUGCAUGUAAGAAAUAAAUGGGUUUCUUAAACUUUAUUUUUCCCUUUGAGUGAUUUUGGUUUCGAAGUUAUUUUGCCUCAGGAUUUUUCCACCUGGAGUUACACCUACACUCAUCCAACCUGGUUGAGAAUUCUUUCUCUGUCAGAGCCAAGAAUCCUUCCCUGUUCAGGUUGAGGUUUCACCUAAUGCGCAGGGAGAGACCACCCAGAGAGCUGCCCCACAACAGCCUUAUCUGAUUAGAACAUUUGGAAAGAAUAAACUGGGCAUGCUCAAUUCAGCUCUCGAUCUCAUUUUUUUUCCUCUUGAGCAAGCACAAUUUCUUCUGUUAGUCAUGCCAUAAAGUCCUUCCCAGUUGGAAAUGUUGCCCUGGCCAUCGCUGCCUAUGACUAUAUGAGUAAGUGUAAUUAAUUCUGGAUGAAGUUAGGAGGCCCAUCUGACUCUCAUUUUAAGGUACAUUCUUCAAUAUGGGCUUCUCAGUAAUAGAGGGGAUAUUUUGUCCAUCAUAUCUCCCUCUCCUUUGUCUUAUUGAUCAAUUUGUUCUAAACUGAGGUAGGAAAUUGGUUAGUGUAUUAAUUAUAUUUUCUAAAUGUCUGUAUUCUUGAUGCUCUGACAUAUGGGGCCUCACUUACUGGGCAGAGACUGCCCCUCUCAGGGCUAGCUAAUUCCUAGAGAAAGCAAACAAUCCCCUGAUCUUUCAUAUGCAAACUGACCAAUCUAGAACCCCCACCCACCCCAACUUCUUCCUUACUCAAACUCUCACACACCAAGCCAAUAUUUCCCUGCCCUAAUCAACCCAGGGCAAAGUAACAGACAAUUUGGGACAGCCCAGAGCCCACUGAAAUUAUUCCAAUUUGCCAAUCGUAAGCCUGCUAACCCUGCCUUACCUUGCCUUUCUGUGAAAACCAGGAUAAAGGCUUGUGUUUAUGCUUUCCCUUUGCUCUCUCUGCUUCUUUCUCUCCUGUGCUUCCCUGUGUGGCCCUGCAGGGUGUGGCAUGCCCCCUCCUCUUGGGGACUAAGAGUAACACACGCUCUCUUCAGUGUCUGUCAUCUCCUGAUCUCUUGGCCUCACCAUACCUGAAUAAUAACAAAACGUACAUUUUAAAACAGGGGGAGUUAUUACUGGUUCCUUCCAAAGGUUAGAAGAGGUCUCUUCAGAAGGUGAUGCAAAGCAUGACUUUAAAACACAGUCACUGAUACCAUUUCCCCUUCUUUCCUGCCAUACUUGUUUUUAAAUUAGGGAGAUGGGAACAGAAUUUCCCAAAGAGCUGGGCCCUGGUUAGCAAUAAUUUGCCCAGUUUUCAUUUAUUCUUGAGAUUCUAACCAUUGACUUCCAAAAGAAAAGUAACAUAGCCAAGAAUUUAUUAGUCAAUCUGUUAGGUAGACAGAUAGACAUGAGCAGCCAGAGAAGGGGAAUAUAAGGUUCAAGGAAAAAACCAUCCAGUUGUAAGAGUCCCACUUGAAGACAACAAAGGCUUUGUAGGGAGAUAACUUCCUUGCCUAUCAGGAACAAGCUAAAUUGGUUCCAACCAGAUCACAAUGCAGGCACAAUCAAACAAAGCUAAGAACCACCCAAACCACACCUCCUCAUAAUCUCAUUAAAAUAAAACUGCAAUUUGCUCCUCCCCACUCCCCAUGGCCUUUUCUGUGUGCAUUUUGGGAAAAGAAAUACAUAUUAUUCAAAGAAAGGGAAGUGCAGGCAACCUCAGAAAGGAGGCAUGCUUAAAGCUGAGGAUUCAUGUCUUUUACGGAUUUCAAGAAUGGGUUAAAGGGCCAGGGGGAAGCAUAGGCUUGACAUGUGGUCUCAUGAUGUCUAUCUCUGGUGAGAGACAUGUCACCAUCCAUAGUCAGUCCUCUAGAUACUCUG
RNA transcript from Manis pentadactyla (Chinese pangolin), 5280 nucleotides. It is a transcript of the gene named nicotinamide riboside kinase 1, with no coding region annotated. The record is from RefSeq and is a predicted model, not a curated record. NCBI's taxonomy places the organism in Eukaryota, Metazoa, Chordata, Mammalia, Pholidota, Manidae. The transcript is spliced from 10 exons.